RNAcentral lists this ribosomal RNA (273 nucleotides) under uncultured bacterium. RNAcentral describes it as "partial 16S ribosomal RNA". It matches the Rfam family "Bacterial small subunit ribosomal RNA", at positions 524 to 799 of the family's 1533-position model. The record is from RNAcentral.
UACAGAGGAGCCAAGCGUUGUCCGGAUUGACUGGGCGUAAAGAGCGCGCAGGCGGCUGGUCAAGUCCGAUGUGAAAGCUCCCGGCUUAACUGGGAAAUUGCAUCGGAAACUGAUCGGCUGGAAGGUGGGAGAGGGUAGCGGAAUUCCCGGUGUAGUGGUGAAAUGCGUAGAUAUCGGGAGGAACACCAGUGGCGAAAGCGGCUACCUGGCCCAUUCUUGACGCUGAGGCGCGAAAGCUAGGGAGCAAAGCGGGAUUGAGAUACCCGUAGUAAG